RNAcentral lists this ribosomal RNA (484 nucleotides) under uncultured bacterium. RNAcentral's name for it is "partial 16S ribosomal RNA". It matches the Rfam family "Bacterial small subunit ribosomal RNA", at positions 29 to 507 of the family's 1533-position model. The record is from RNAcentral.
AUUGAACGCUGGCGGAAUGCUUUACACAUGCAAGUCGAGCGGCAGCGCGGCCUUCGGGCUGGCGGCGAGCGGCGAACGGGUGAGUAAUGCAUCGGAACAUGCCCAGUCGUGGGGGAUAACACUUCGAAAGAAGUGCUAAUACCGCAUACGUCCUGAGGGGGAAAGCGGGGGAUCGCAAGACCUCGCGCGAUUGGAGUGGCCGAUGUCAGAUUAGCUAGUUGGUGGGGUAAAGGCCUACCAAGGCGACGAUCUGUAGCUGGUCUGAGAGGAUGAUCAGCCACACUGGGACUGAGACACGGCCCAGACUCCUACGGGAGGCAGCAGUGGGGAAUUUUGGACAAUGGGGGCAACCCUGAUCCAGCCAUUCCGCGUGAGUGAAGAAGGCCUUCGGGUUGUAAAGCUCUUUCGGCAGGGACGAAACGGUGGGCUCUAACAUAGUCCGCUAAUGACGGUACCUGAAGAAGAAGCACCGGCUAACUACGUG